RNAcentral lists this ribosomal RNA (468 nucleotides) under uncultured bacterium. Its description in RNAcentral is "partial 16S ribosomal RNA". It matches the Rfam family "Bacterial small subunit ribosomal RNA", at positions 28 to 507 of the family's 1533-position model. The record is from RNAcentral.
GACGAACGCUGGCGGCGUGCUUAACACAUGCAAGUCGAACGGAAAGGCCCUGCUUUUGUGGGGUGCUCGAGUGGCGAACGGGUGAGUAACACGUGAGUAACCUGCCUUUUACUUUGUGAUAUCUUCAGGAAACUGGUGCUAAUACCGGAUAGGAGCUCCUGCUGCAUGGUGGGCGUUGGAAAUUUUCGGCGGUUGGGGAUGGACUCGCGGCUUAUCAGCUUGUUGGUGGGGUAGUGGCUUACCAAGGCUUUGACGGGUAGCCGGCCUGAGAGGGUGACCGGCCACAUUGGGACUGAGAUACGGACCAGACUGCAACGGGAGGCAGCAGUGGGGAAUAUUGCACAAUGGGCGGAAGCCUGAUGCAGCAACGCCGCGUGCGGGAUGACGGCCAUCGGGUUGUAAACCGCUGUCGCCUGUGACGAAGCGUGAGUGACGGUAAUGGGUAAAGAAGCACCGGCUAACUACGUG